AAGAAUACGUAGAAGAGGAGUAGUAGCAACUCACUUGCUGAAUUAGAGACCGACUGGUUGGUGAAAAGUCGGAGCAAUCGUUGUGAACUAGCCUUGGAGUAACAUAUGCGAACGAAUAAGUAGUGUAUGUCGUUUUCCCUGCGAUAAAGGGGUCGAGUUGGUAGUGAUAUGCUACAACUAGGGUGGUACCGCGUAAUUUACGUCCUUAGA
Molecule: non-coding RNA, 210 nt
Filed under: Haloplasma contractile
Lineage: Bacteria; Bacillati; Mycoplasmatota; Mollicutes; Haloplasmatales; Haloplasmataceae
Description: T-box sequence
Rfam family: T-box leader
About the family: Uncharged tRNA acts as the effector for transcription antitermination of genes in the T-box leader family. T-boxes are found upstream of many aminoacyl-tRNA synthetase genes and some amino acid biosynthetic genes usually in Gram-positive bacteria.
Source: RNAcentral